ACGGGUGAGUAACGCGUGGGUAACCUGCCUCACACAGGGGAGUAACAGUUGGAAACGGCUGCUAAUACCGCAUAAGCGCACAGUACCGCAUGGUACAGUGUGAAAAACUCCGGUGGUGUGAGAUGGACCCGCGUCUGAUUAGCUAGUUGGCAGGGCAACGGCCUACCAAGGCGACGAUCAGUAGCCGACCUGAGAGGGUGACCGGCCACAUUGGGACUGAGACACGGCCCAAACUCCUACGGGAGGCAGCAUG
RNAcentral lists this ribosomal RNA (253 nucleotides) under uncultured bacterium. Its description in RNAcentral is "partial 16S ribosomal RNA". It matches the Rfam family "Bacterial small subunit ribosomal RNA", at positions 102 to 353 of the family's 1533-position model. The record is from RNAcentral.